RNAcentral lists this ribosomal RNA (466 nucleotides) under uncultured Chlamydiales bacterium. RNAcentral describes it as "bacterial SSU rRNA". It matches the Rfam family "Bacterial small subunit ribosomal RNA", at positions 337 to 795 of the family's 1533-position model. Lineage: Bacteria; Pseudomonadati; Chlamydiota; Chlamydiia; Chlamydiales. The record is from RNAcentral.
UCCUACGGGUGGCUGCAGUCGAGGAUCAUUCGCAAUGAGCGAAAGCUUGACGAUGCGACGCUGCGUGAACGAUGAAGGCCUUCGGGUUGUAAAGUUCUUUCGCGUUUGAACAAGAGAGAGUUGUGAAUAGCAGCUCGAUUUGAGGGUAAAACGUAAAGAAGCACCGGCUAACUCCGUGCCAGCAGCUGCGGUAAUACGGAGGGUGCAAGCGUUAAUCGGAAUUAUUGGGCGUAAAGGGCGCGUAGGCUGAUUUAUAAGUCUGGUUUGAAAUACCGUGGCUCAACCACGGUGCGGGACUGGAAACUAUAAAUCUAGAGGGUAGGCGGAGAAAACGGAAUUCCAAGUGUAGCGGUGAAAUGCGUAGAUAUUUGGAAGAACACCUGUGGCGAAAGCGGUUUUCUAGCUUAUUCCUGACGCUGAGGCGCGAGAGCAAGGGGAGCAAACAGGAUUAGAUACCCCGGUAGUC